RNAcentral lists this long non-coding RNA (1015 nucleotides) under Homo sapiens (human). RNAcentral's name for it is "HSALNT0239406". The record is from RNAcentral. Lineage: Eukaryota; Metazoa; Chordata; Mammalia; Primates; Hominidae.
CUCAUUUCUCCAAAAAAUAAAAAUAAAAUGGCAAAAAAACAAAAAAACAAUAAACCUCACACCAUAUAUGCAAAUUAACUCAAAAUGGAUCAUAGAUCUAAAUGUAACUACACAAUUUCUGGGAGAAGACAUAUAGAGUAAAUCUUUUCCACUUUGGAUUAAACAACAGGUUCUUAAAGAUUUCUUAGGUAAGAAACAAAAAAGCACAAGCCAUAUAAGAAAAAAUUGCUAACUUAAAGCUGAUCAAAAUUAAAAACUUCUGCUCUUCACAAAACUUUAUUUAUUUAUUUUCUUUCUUUCUUUAUUUUUUUGAGACAGAGUCUCACUCUGUUGCCCAGGCUGGAGUGCAGUGGUGCAAUCUUGGCUCAUUGCAACCUCCACCUCCCAGGUUCAAGCACUUCUUGUGCCUCAGCCUCCUGAGUAGCCGGGAUUACAGGCAUGGGCCACCACAACUGGCUAAUUUGUGUAUUUUUAGUGGAGAUUGGGGUUUUGCCACGUUGGCCAGGAUGGUCUCGAACUCCUGACUUCAGGUGAUCCACCUGCCUCGGCCUCCCAAAGUGCUGUGAUUACAGGUGUGAGUCACUAUGCCCAGCCAGAGAACACUUUUAACAGAAUGAAAAGACAAACCACAAUCUGAGAGAAGAUAUUUACCAAACACAUAUCUAUAAGGCCUUGUUUUUUGUUUUUAUUUAUUUACUUAUUUAAUUUUUGAGAUAGUAUCUCACUCUGUGACCCAGGCUGGAGUGCGGUGGUGAUCACAGCUCACUGCAGAGCCUCGACCUCCCAGGCUCAAGCAAUCCUCCCACCUCAGCUUCCCGUGUAGCUGGGACCACAGGUGAGCACCACUGCACCUGCCUAAUUUUUAUGUUUUUGGUAGAGACAAGGUUUCACCAUAUUGCCCAGGUGGUCUAAAACUCCUGGCCUCAAGCAAUCCUCCUGCCUCAGCCUCCCAAUGUGCUGGGAUUAUAGGCAUGAGCCACUGUACCUGGUCCCUGAAAAGACUUGUAUCUAGAAU